RNAcentral lists this long non-coding RNA (251 nucleotides) under Lathyrus oleraceus (garden pea). RNAcentral's name for it is "Pisum sativum (pea) long non-coding RNA (PSAT_LNC011896)". Lineage: Eukaryota; Viridiplantae; Streptophyta; Magnoliopsida; Fabales; Fabaceae. The record is from RNAcentral.
UUUGUUCCUAUAUAUAUUUACUAGCAUGACUGAUAGAGAGAGGCCAAAAAGACAGAACAAAAAAGAGAAACUGAGAGUGGCUGAUCUAUACUAUCGUACACACAGUUUGGUUAUAGUUUAUAUAUGAUAUAUACUUUAUCUAUUUUGUUGAUAUAUUUGAUUAUGUUUUCGGAUCGGAUCGUGUCAAUACGCCGUUUUCACAUAUACGUGUAUGAGGCGUGACAUUUGUGUUAUCCGAUCAAGUUGCGAUG